Myotis lucifugus (little brown bat) is the source of this 76-nucleotide non-coding RNA. The record is from Rfam. NCBI's taxonomy places the organism in Eukaryota, Metazoa, Chordata, Mammalia, Chiroptera, Vespertilionidae.
GAGACACCCUUAAGGGGCGAGACUUGCUUCAGUGGGGCUUUGAUGCUCACUGAGUCUGCCCCCUGAGUGUGUCCCU